This 357-nucleotide ribosomal RNA is filed under the name Amphizoa insolens. Its description in RNAcentral is "partial 12S ribosomal RNA". The record is from RNAcentral. Lineage: Eukaryota; Metazoa; Arthropoda; Insecta; Coleoptera; Amphizoidae.
AUUAUUUUAAAUGUAAAUUUAUUUGCUUAAUUAGUAUUAGUUAUGUUCUUCAAAUUUAAAGAUUUUGGCGGUAUUUUAGUCUAUUCAGAGGAACCUGUUCUGUAAUUGAUAUUCCACGAUUAACUUAACUUAUUUUAUUAAUUUGUAUACCGUCGUUAUUAGAUAAUUUUAUAAGAAGAUAAAUUUUUUAGAUUUUUAAUAAGAAAAUAUAUCAGAUCAAGGUGCAGUUUAUAAAUAAGGAGAAAUGGGUUACAAUAAAUUUAUUUAUACGGAUUUAUAUAUGAAAUUAUAGAUUGAAGGUGGAUUUGAUAGUAAUAAAAUUAAUUUAAAUUUUUUGAUUAUAGCUCUAAAAUAUGU